Molecule: transfer RNA, 130 nt
Filed under: uncultured Gemmatimonadota bacterium
Lineage: Bacteria; Pseudomonadati; Gemmatimonadota
Description: uncultured Gemmatimonadetes bacterium tRNA-Pseudo-TTC
Rfam family: tRNA
About the family: Transfer RNA (tRNA) molecules are approximately 80 nucleotides in length. Their secondary structure includes four short double-helical elements and three loops (D, anti-codon, and T loops). Further hydrogen bonds mediate the characteristic L-shaped molecular structure. tRNAs have two regions of fundamental functional importance: the anti-codon, which is responsible for specific mRNA codon recognition, and the 3' end, to which the tRNAs corresponding amino acid is attached (by aminoacyl-tRNA synthetases). tRNAs cope with the degeneracy of the genetic code in two manners: having more than one tRNA (with a specific anti-codon) for a particular amino acid; and 'wobble' base-pairing, i.e. permitting non-standard base-pairing at the 3rd anti-codon position.
Source: RNAcentral
GGGCCUGUAGCUCAGUUGGCAGAGCACUUCCCUUUCGCGAAACCCUCGUCCGGCUCCGGCCGGGCCGAUGUGAAAGGGUUACCGAUUACUCCUCGAGAGGUCGCGGGUUCGAGUCCCGCCAGGUCCACCU